CCCUACUCGCCGGAGCCGGAGCCUGCUCUAGGCAGCUGCAACAAAAACCCGGAGCCGGAGCUGUGGCCUGAUUCGGAUCGGACCUGCCUUAUAGUGCAACAGCAUCUCUCACAGACGUGAACAGCAGCGGUAGAACACUGGUGACGGAACAAAGACGUCGCUGGGACGAUGGUUCUGGGACUACCAAAGAGACAGGGAGGAGACCAAAAAUUAUUGACAAAUACAGCGAGAAGUGAGAGCAACGCACUACUUGCCUACAUCCGUGCCAGUCAUGUAUAUUAAAAGGGUGUAUGGAAGACUGCAGGCUAUUGGAGUUACCUUUCUGCAGACUUAAGGAGCAUGGCAUGA
This 348-nucleotide long non-coding RNA is filed under the name Struthio camelus australis. Its description in RNAcentral is "lncRNA (ENSSCUG00000014320.1)". The record is from RNAcentral. Lineage: Eukaryota; Metazoa; Chordata; Aves; Struthioniformes; Struthionidae.